GGGGCGGUAGCUCAGCUGGUUAGAGCAGGGGACUCAUAAUCCUCUGGCCGUGGGUUCGAGUCCCACCCGCCCCA
Molecule: transfer RNA, 74 nt
Filed under: Embleya scabrispora
Lineage: Bacteria; Bacillati; Actinomycetota; Actinomycetes; Kitasatosporales; Streptomycetaceae
Also listed under: 18 other names
Description: Streptomyces scabrisporus tRNA
Rfam family: tRNA
About the family: Transfer RNA (tRNA) molecules are approximately 80 nucleotides in length. Their secondary structure includes four short double-helical elements and three loops (D, anti-codon, and T loops). Further hydrogen bonds mediate the characteristic L-shaped molecular structure. tRNAs have two regions of fundamental functional importance: the anti-codon, which is responsible for specific mRNA codon recognition, and the 3' end, to which the tRNAs corresponding amino acid is attached (by aminoacyl-tRNA synthetases). tRNAs cope with the degeneracy of the genetic code in two manners: having more than one tRNA (with a specific anti-codon) for a particular amino acid; and 'wobble' base-pairing, i.e. permitting non-standard base-pairing at the 3rd anti-codon position.
Source: Rfam by way of RNAcentral